CCUACGGGUGGCAGCAGUGAGGAAUAUUGGUCAAUGGACGAGAGUCUGAACCAGCCAAGUAGCGUGAAGGAUGACUGCCCUAUGGGUUGUAAACUUCUUUUAUAUGGGAAUAAAACGUUCCACGUGUGGGAUUUUGUAUGUACCAUAUGAAUAAGGAUCGGCUAACUCCGUGCCAGCAGCCGCGGUAAUACGGAGGAUCCGAGCGUUAUCCGGAUUUAUUGGGUUUAAAGGGAGCGUAGGUGGAUUGUUAAGUCAGUUGUGAAAGUGUGCGGAUCAACCGUAAAAUUGCAGUUGAAACUGGCAGUCUUGAGUACAGUAGAGGUGGGCGGAAUUCGUGGUGUAGCGGUGAAAUGCUUAGAUAUCACGAAGAACUCCGAUUGCGAAGGCAGUUCACUGGACUGCAACUGACACUGAGGCUCGAAAGUGUGGGUAUCAAACAGGAUUAGAUACCCCAGUAGUC
This 460-nucleotide ribosomal RNA is filed under the name uncultured bacterium. RNAcentral describes it as "partial 16S ribosomal RNA". It matches the Rfam family "Bacterial small subunit ribosomal RNA", at positions 338 to 795 of the family's 1533-position model. The record is from RNAcentral.